Molecule: unclassified non-coding RNA, 1780 nt
Filed under: Hevea brasiliensis (rubber tree)
Lineage: Eukaryota; Viridiplantae; Streptophyta; Magnoliopsida; Malpighiales; Euphorbiaceae
Source: RNAcentral
AAAAAAUAUGAUUUGUGUGGUAGGUUGGUUGGUCUUGGUUGUUGCAUUCCCUAUAAAGUCCAUCUUCUGGUAUAGAUCUCGCGCUCUUGUUUCAUUAUAGAGUAGAUAAGUUGGAAACCAUGUCGGACGCCGUUAUUUUGUACCCUUCUUCGGGCAGAGGACAUGUAGUUCCCAUGGUGGAACUUGGCAAACUUAUAAGCAAACACCAUCCUUCUAUCUCAAUUACCAUUAUAAUCCUUACUCUACCAAGCGAAACAACCUCCACUAACUCGUAUAUUGCCACUGUCUCCGCCGCUGCCCCAUCCAUCAACUUUAUUCGUCUCCCAGAAGUCUCUCUCCACCCCCUCCUCCGUUAGAGACAUUGUGGCCUCGUCUUUCGAAAUCCCUCAACUCAAUAAUCGUAACCUCCACCAGGCUAUCCUGACUCUUUCCAGUUCCUCCAACGUCAAAGCCCUCGUUAUCGAUUACUUCUGCAAUUCUGCCGUCCAGGUGUCCUCCUGCCUUAACAUCCCAACUUACUAUUUCUGCGCUGCUUCUGCAAGUGCCCUGUGCCAUUUGCUUUAUUGUCCCACCAUCCAUAAGAAUAUUGCCGAGAGCUUGAAAGAUCUUGACAUCCUAGUUGAUGCUCCAGGGACACCAAGCAUUCCAUCCAAAGAUCUGCCUCUAGUCAUGCUUGACCGAUCUCACAGAGUUUACCAGUAUUUUAUUAACACGGCCAACCAGAUGGCUAAAUCUUCUGGAAUCAUUGUCAAUACGUUUGAAUCGCUAGAACCAAGAGCUAUUAAGGCGAUAUUAGAAGGGAAGUGUACUCCUGACGAGUCUUUUCUUCCGCCAAUAUAUUGCAUAGGACCAAUUGUAUCUACAAGCGAAAGCAAAGAAGAGCAUGAGUGCCUAAUUUGGCUUGACUCACAACCGAGUCGUAGCGUCGUGUUUCUUUGUUUUGGUCGCAUGGGAUUCUUCUCCUCAACUUAGUUAAAGGAAAUGGCUAUUGGAUUGGAGAAAGUGGGUUUAGGUUCUUGUGGGUGGUGCGCAAUCCACCAGCAGAUAAUAAAACCGGAGGCAUUUUAUAUGCAAAAAAACGAAGCCUGGAGUCUUUCUUGCCAGAUGGGUUAUUGAAAAGAACGAAAGACAGGGAAUUUGUGGUGAAAUUAUGGGCGCCACAGGUUGCAAUACUCAAUCAUGGAUCAGUGGGUUUGUUCGUGACUCACUGCGGGUGGAACUCGAUUCUUGAAUCGGUUUGUGCAGGAGUGCCUAUGUUGGCAUGGCCUCUUUAUGCAGAGCAGAAGAUGAACAGGACUUUUUUGGUGGAGCGUAUGAAAAUGGGUUUGAAAGUGAGUGAGUCAGAAGACGGAAUUGUGAGUGCAGCGGAGUUGGAGCAGCGGCUGACGGAAAUGAUGAAGUCGGAGAAAGGGAAAGAGAUCGAAAAGCGAGUUAUGGCAGUAAGAGUGUGUGCGGUGGAAGCGGUCAACAACGGAGGGUCAUCACGAGUAGCCCUGGCCCACUUUGUGGAGUCGCUUUAAGAUGACGCUGCUCUUUAUCUUCACUGUACUCUGAACCAUAAUUAACCAGCCGUGCAUGCCAAUUUGCAAAGCCAGUUAUUGCAUAUUGCCAGGUGCAAUGUUAUCUUACUCGAAAAAAAAAAUGGAUUUUCCGUAAAUUAAUGAGAGCGAAGUCACAUAAAUAUGAGCGAGAAAAUGAAUAAUCUCGCCAUAAAAUAAAGAUAAUGUUCUUUUUAUCUGAGUAAAAUAAAUAUAGUGACUCAUUUUUUUUGUGAGCAAAA